CUCGCUUCUCACACUCUCAUCUCUUCUUCUCCUCUCCUCUCCUCUCCUCUCUGGCGACCAAGAAGAACUGUCGUCCGCCUCUUGAUCGCAGCAGAUUGGUGCUUAUAGAACAGUCGCCUACCUCUCCAAGAACAGUUGUCCCCUGUUUUCCGUUCAUUUGCACCGAAAAGAUGUUUUCGAGAUGAAGAUCUUAGGGCAAAUAGACAGCCUGAGUUUACACAACUGGAUAUGGAGACGGCUUUCACCCCUUUGGAGAACAUGCUGAGGCUCAAUGAAGAUUUGAUUAGACAAGUUAUUAAGUUAGUUGUCAGGUGGUUAAAAUUCUAAUUAGAUUUGGGAAGCACCCUGAUAAAAGAUCAACAAAUAAGAUAGAGAAAAAUGAAUCCAAUCAAAUUAUCUCAAAAUACCCUUUGACAGGCCAAAAAUUUUCUGAGACUAAAAGCUGCUAAUGAAUUAACUUGACCCAAAUUAAUUUUAUGUGGCAUUUGUCAGCAUUGUGAUAUGAAAUCUUUUAAGGUUUGCUUAGGCUGAUGCCUAAUCACUAGAAUUUUUUUUGGACACAGAUAGGCUUGGGUUGGCUUUACUUCAGCUCAGAGUAUGUCUGUAGAUGGGAUGAAAGAGUUUCAAUUGAUAUAUUGCAAGGUUUUCAAAGCUUCAAACCCAAAUCUAGCUGCUAAAAUCUAUAGCAUUUACUAAGGAAUAGACUAUUGAGGCCAUAAUCUAACUUGAUCCAAUCUGUACAUUUUUUCCUAGAAAUGAGUGGGUCAAAUUCCUCUUGAGCAGAGCCCAUCUCGGCUUGUCUUAUGGCCUGAGCUCACCUUUUGAACCUUAAAAUUUUUCUCAACCUUGGUUUGUAGUGAACCAAACUUGUUAGUGCAUGAAGUUGGUGUGCACACUAUUGAUUACAUUGUAGAGUCCAGGCCAGGAGAUUGCUUGCACAUAGCAGAGCUUGUUGCAUCAAGUUAUAAAUUAUAUGUUAUAUAAUUCUUUUAUUAAUUUAGUUUAUUUUUAUGUUCCUGAAACUUGAUUUGAUGGAUGUCACUAUGAGGUUUGAUUAGAUAUGCUUAUUGUAGGUUUUUCUGGAGAUCAAAGUUACUCAGCUACCCAAUCCUUUCCCGAGGCUUACAUAUGCUGAAGUAAUGAGUCAAUAUGGUUUAGACAGGCCAGAUGUUCGAUUGGAUCUCCAAUUAAGAGAUGUAAUAAGGCCUACCUCCCUCUCUCUCUGUCUGGUUUGGGUGGUUUAUUUUUUAUUUAUUUAUUUGGUGGUGGCGGUGGUGGUGGUGGAAGAAAUUGACUUAUAUGUUCAACAUCAGCUUCUACAGUGUUUCUGAUUGGAUCCUGAGAAAACUAAUGCACUUUGCUGAGUGUUUGUUUUUAACUUCACUACUUUCCAGUUUUCAUUAUCUUAGGUUUCUGAUUUUUUAUACUGUAGUUGAGCUGCUAUCAUAAACUUAAUGCAUAGUUACCACUUUAAAAAA
Molecule: non-coding RNA, 1478 nt
Organism: Camellia sinensis
Lineage: Eukaryota; Viridiplantae; Streptophyta; Magnoliopsida; Ericales; Theaceae
Source: RefSeq, a predicted model, not a curated record